This 460-nucleotide ribosomal RNA is filed under the name uncultured bacterium. Its description in RNAcentral is "partial 16S ribosomal RNA". It matches the Rfam family "Bacterial small subunit ribosomal RNA", at positions 338 to 795 of the family's 1533-position model. The record is from RNAcentral.
CCUACGGGUGGCUGCAGUGAGGAAUAUUGGUCAAUGGGCGCGAGCCUGAACCAGCCAAGUAGCGUGAAGGAUGACUGCCCUACGGGUUGUAAACUUCUUUUAUAAAGGCAUAAAGUGAGGCACGUGUGCCUUUUUGUAUGUACUUUAUGAAUAAGGAUCGGCUAACUCCGUGCCAGCAGCCGCGGUAAUACGGAGGAUCCGAGCGUUAUCCGGAUUUAUUGGGUUUAAAGGGAGCGUAGGUGGGUUGUUAAGUCAGUUGUGAAAGUUUGCGGCUCAACCGUAAAAUUGCAGUUGAAACUGGCAGCCUUGAGUACAGUUGAGGUGGGCGGAAUUCGUGGUGUAGCGGUGAAAUGCUUAGAUAUCACGAAGAACUCCGAUUGCGAAGGCAGCUUACUGGACUGCCACUGACACUGAGGCUCGAAAGUGUGGGUAUCAAACAGGAUUAGAUACCCUAGUAGUC